RNAcentral lists this ribosomal RNA (433 nucleotides) under uncultured bacterium. RNAcentral describes it as "partial 16S ribosomal RNA". It matches the Rfam family "Bacterial small subunit ribosomal RNA", at positions 29 to 507 of the family's 1533-position model. The record is from RNAcentral.
AACGAACGCUGGCGGCAUGCCUAACACAUGCAAGUCGAACGAGACCUUCGGGUCUAGUGGCGCACGGGUGCGUAACGCGUGGGAACCUGCCCUUAGGUUCGGAAUAACUCCCCGAAAGGGGUGCUAAUACCGGAUAAUGUCUUCGGACCAAAGAUUUAUCGCCUUUGGAUGGGCCCGCGUUGGAUUAGCUAGUUGGUAGGGUAAAAGCCUACCAAGGCGACGAUCCAUAGCUGGUCUGAGAGGAUGAUCAGCCACACUGGGACUGAGACACGGCCCAGACUCCUACGGGAGGCAGCAGUGGGGAAUAUUGGACAAUGGGCGAAAGCCUGAUCCAGCAAUGCCGCGUGAGUGAUGAAGGCCUGAGGGUUGUAAAGCGCUUUUAACCGGGAUGAUAAUGACAGUACCGGGAGAAUAAGCCCCGGCUAACUCCGUG